RNAcentral lists this transfer RNA (67 nucleotides) under Anastatus shichengensis. RNAcentral's name for it is "tRNA-Lys". Lineage: Eukaryota; Metazoa; Arthropoda; Insecta; Hymenoptera; Eupelmidae. The record is from RNAcentral.
CAAUUGAUAUCUUAAAAUAAAGAAUUAAAUUUUUAAUUUAAAAAUAGUAAUUAAUUACUUCAAUUGA